AUGAAAAGAACCAAUUGCUUCUUGGUAUCCGCCGUGCUAGCUGACCACAAACUGCGAUGCCUUCCUCAGUAUUGUCAACUGAUAGUACGCACUUGGGACUUCUUGCUGCAGCAGCUCAUGCGGCUGCAACCAAUAGCCCUUUCACUAUUUUCUAUAACCCAUAUAACAUGCGUGUCCAUCCAAAUUUGUCAUACCCUGAGUAAAUUAUUGGAAGAGGAGAAAGCAAGAAUGACUAACAUCAAGGAUCACGGUACACAAUCCAAGGCUUUGCUUCAGGCAUCCAAUCAGAAGAGAAAUUUGCUUAGUGGAGAAGUUCGUCAUCUCAAGGCCGUACUCCUUGAAAAACAAAACAAGUUGAAAUUUUGCGAGUUGGAGACAAUAAAGGUAGAGGCUCAUUUUGAUGACAUAAAAAAAAUGUUGGAGGUUGACAUAACCGUAAAAGAUAAAACUCGAGAAGUAGAAACAACAAGGAUAAAAACUGUAGAGAGAGACACAAAGCAAAUUUCAGCCAAGACAGCGUUGGAGAAUGCUAAACGUGCAUUGGAAAAUUAGUUCCUUUCAACAACUCAAUAAUUGUGUAGUGAAUGAAGUAGAAUAAUUGUGAAUUGUGUACUCGAAGUUUGUUUUGGUAGCUCUUUAGUAGCUUGUUUCUUUUAUAUAACAGAAGCUUAUUUUUCUAAGUACCUUUGAGAUAGUUACAUUUCAUGACCUUGUUCACAUAA
Molecule: long non-coding RNA, 722 nt
Organism: Medicago truncatula (barrel medic)
Lineage: Eukaryota; Viridiplantae; Streptophyta; Magnoliopsida; Fabales; Fabaceae
Exons: 2
Source: RefSeq, a predicted model, not a curated record